Molecule: long non-coding RNA, 1160 nt
Organism: Mustela erminea (ermine)
Lineage: Eukaryota; Metazoa; Chordata; Mammalia; Carnivora; Mustelidae
Exons: 3
Source: RefSeq, a predicted model, not a curated record
AGCUAAGAUGCGCGGGUUCAGGCAUCAGGACCAGCGCGGGAGAGGAAGAGAGUGGAGGAAGAUCUAGUGUGCAAUACUACUUUGAGGGGCGGGGAAGAGGCGGAGAACUGACCCCACUGGGCGCUGUCUGGGGGAGAAGGUGCACAGCGUUCAUCACAUUUUCAGAAUGGCCCCUGGCCACAAGGUUAAAAGAGAAAAAUUACCCUGGAUCAUAGAAAUUAGUAUUUCUUUUCAGUCUCUGUUCUUGAUGUAGCGUCAAAACAUGAGACGUGUAUGUUUCUUCGCCCGCCCCCCACCCCAAAAUUGUUUCAGAGAGAAAAAUGAGCAAGAGAAAGGCGUGGCUUCGUCCUGCCCUUGAGGAAGGCCACGAAGGCUGAACGAGGGGGGUCAGACCUCGGCGUGCAUGAGCAGAAACCCCGGCAGAAGGCCGGCUGGUAGGUCACGCGCGAACCUCUGGACUGCACUUGCAUGGUGGCCGCCGAAGGCUGACGCCAAUUUCCCUACCGUUUCAAGAGGGAAUCAAGAUUGGUGGCGAGUGUUUUGUAAACGGGAAUACAGAAAAGCGUACGAGUCAUAAACACGUUGGGAAAAUGUGCCUCAUGAAUUAGUAAGGACUGAAAUUUACCCUAGCUCAACUUUCUUCCUUUCUUCUUCUUUUUAAAUUUUUAAAUAAAUUUUUGUAAGAUUGAUUGAUUUUAGAAAGACUGAAAGAUAGGGAAAGGGGCAGAGGGAGACAACGUCCAAGCUGACUCCUGCUGAGUGCACAGCCACAGGUGGGCCUCCAUCCCAGGACCUAUGGGAUCAGGACCUGCAUCGAAGCCAAGAGUCCAACGCUCAAAAGACUGAGCCACUCAGGCGGCGCAGACUCUCAACUACUGCUUUCCGGAAGAGGCCGUUAAUGAUUACCCUAGUUAAAACAGCCUCCUGCACCACCCAGUCCCAGUCUCUGGCAGGGAUCGUUGUUGUCUACCAAUCCCCAUCUGCCUCUUCCUCUGGAGUUUUCCCUCUUUGUGGCUACAGAAGAAACAUUUCCCAGUCUUCCUUGCAGACAGUUGGAAUACAGACAAGAUUAUAGGAGCUGAAGCAGCUAGGAGAUGGAGAGAUGAAGGCUUUCAGAGAUAAAGAGAGCAGCAGGAGGCGCAGAAGGAGAAGGAGAAGAA